UACGAAGGGGGCUAGCGUUGCUCGGAAUCACUGGGCGUAAAGCGCACGUAGGCGGAUCGUUAAGUCAGGGGUGAAAUCCUGGAGCUCAACUCCAGAACUGCCUUUGAUACUGGCGAUCUUGAGUUCGGGAGAGGUGAGUGGAACUGCGAGUGUAGAGGUGAAAUUCGUAGAUAUUCGCAAGAACACCAGUGGCGAAGGCGGCUCACUGGCCCGAUACUGACGCUGAGGUGCGAAAGCGUGGGGAGCAAACAGG
RNAcentral lists this ribosomal RNA (253 nucleotides) under uncultured bacterium. RNAcentral describes it as "partial 16S ribosomal RNA". It matches the Rfam family "Bacterial small subunit ribosomal RNA", at positions 524 to 776 of the family's 1533-position model. The record is from RNAcentral.